Molecule: long non-coding RNA, 398 nt
Filed under: Homo sapiens (human)
Lineage: Eukaryota; Metazoa; Chordata; Mammalia; Primates; Hominidae
Description: non-protein coding LINC00922:5
Source: RNAcentral
GGGCAACCCACAGUCAAGAAUUGAUCACUGUAGGGGUAUAAGGUUUUGGCCAUUGACUCUGGUUCAGAACAACUCUGAUGUACCAUUCUAACUCCAUGAUUCUCUUUGGGGUCAGCCAAGUCUGUCUUGCCUGCAUCACAUCUUGAAUUUUUUGAAAUCUUACUUACUUUCUCUUACUUCCACAGGUGUUGAUUCUAAGGAUACCCCCAAUAAACAUCUUUCGUGCUAAAGCCCAUUCCAGAAUUUACUUCCCAGCUAUCUUUGAUGUUCAUAUUGUCAGAGGUGGUGGCCGCUGAAACAGGCAAAGACAUGGAGCAUAUCUUGGGUCCAGGACCUUGGGAGUCCAGAGGAAGGUCUUUUUACCAUCAGCAUUCUCUACUGUGUUCAAUGACUGUCAG